This 75-nucleotide transfer RNA is filed under the name Actinomadura madurae. Its description in RNAcentral is "tRNA_Trp_CCA". It matches the Rfam family "tRNA". Rfam says of the family: Transfer RNA (tRNA) molecules are approximately 80 nucleotides in length. Their secondary structure includes four short double-helical elements and three loops (D, anti-codon, and T loops). Lineage: Bacteria; Bacillati; Actinomycetota; Actinomycetes; Streptosporangiales; Thermomonosporaceae. The record is from RNAcentral.
GUGGGUGAGCCAAUGGUUAGGCGGCCGGUCUCCAAAACCGGCGGGAUGCAGGUUCGAGUCCUGCCACCCAUGCGA